GAUAAACGCUGGCGGCGUGCAUAACACAUGCAAGUCGAACGAUGAAACUUAGCUGAUUUCUUCGGAAUGAAAUUAAGCGGAUUAGUGGCGAACGGGUGAGUAACACGUGAGUAACCUGCCUUACACAAGGGGAUAGCCUUUGGAAACGAAGAAUAAUACCCUAUAAAGUCAAAAUAUCGCAUGAUAUAGUGACCAAAGAUUUAUCGGUGUAAGAUGGACUUGCGUCUGAUUAGCUAGUUGGUGAGAUAAAAGCCCACCAAGGCGACGAUCAGUAGCCGGCUUGAGAGAGUGUACGGCCACAUUGGGACUGAGACACGGCCCAAACUCCUACGGGAGGCAGCAGUGGGGGAUUUUGCACAAUGGGGGAAACCCUGAUGCAGCGACGCCGCGUGAUUUAGAAGGCCUUCGGGUUGUAAAAAUCUUUUUUAUGGGAUGAAAAUGACAGUACCAUAAGAAUAAGGUCCGGCUAAAUACGUGCCAGCAGCCGCGGUAAUACGUAUGGACCGAGCGUUGUCCGGAAUCAUUGGGCGUAAAGGGUACGUAGGCGGCCUAGUAAGUUAGAAGUGAAAUAAUAUAGCUCAACUAUAUAAAGCUUUUAAAACUGUUAGGCUUGAGAGAUGAAAGGGAAAGUGGAAUUCCUAGUGUAGCGGUGAAAUGCGCAGAUAUUAGGAAGAAUACCGGUGGCGAAGGCGACUUUCUGGUCAUCAUCUGACGCUGAGGUACGAAAGCGUGGGUAGCAAACAAGG
This 746-nucleotide ribosomal RNA is filed under the name uncultured Anaerococcus sp. Its description in RNAcentral is "bacterial SSU rRNA". It matches the Rfam family "Bacterial small subunit ribosomal RNA", at positions 28 to 777 of the family's 1533-position model. The record is from RNAcentral. Lineage: Bacteria; Bacillati; Bacillota; Tissierellia; Tissierellales; Peptoniphilaceae.